ACUCCUACGGGAGGCAGCAGUAGGGAAUCUUCCACAAUGGACGAAAGUCUGAUGGAGCAACGCCGCGUGAGUGAAGAAGGGUUUCGGCUCGUAAAACUCUGUUGUUAAAGAAGAACAUAUCUGAGAGUAACUGUUCAGGUAUUGACGGUAUUUAACCAGAAAGCCACGGCUAACUACGUGCCAGCAGCCGCGGUAAUACGUAGGUGGCAAGCGUUGUCCGGAUUUAUUGGGCGUAAAGCGAGCGCAGGCGGUUUUUAAGUCUGAUGUGAAAGCCUUCGGCUCAACCGAAGAAGUGCAUCGGAAACUGGGAAACUUGAGUGCAGAAGAGGACAGUGGAACUCCAUGUGUAGCGGUGAAAUGCGUAGAUAUAUGGAAGAACACCAGUGGCGAAGGCGGCUGUCUGGUCUGUAACUGACGCUGAGGCUCGAAAGUAUGGGUAGCAAACAGGAUUAGAUACCCUGGUAGGAAAGC
This 471-nucleotide ribosomal RNA is filed under the name uncultured bacterium. RNAcentral's name for it is "bacterial SSU rRNA". It matches the Rfam family "Bacterial small subunit ribosomal RNA", at positions 335 to 795 of the family's 1533-position model. The record is from RNAcentral.